Molecule: ribosomal RNA, 497 nt
Filed under: uncultured bacterium
Lineage: Bacteria
Description: partial 16S ribosomal RNA
Rfam family: Bacterial small subunit ribosomal RNA
Source: RNAcentral
GAUGAACGCUGGCGGCGUGCCUAAUACAUGCAAGUCGAGCGAACGGACGAGAAGCUUGCUUCUCUGAUGUUAGCGGCGGACGGGUGAGUAACACGUGGAUAACCUACCUAUAAGACUGGGAUAACUUCGGGAAACCGUAGCUAAUACCGGAUAAUAUUUUGAACCGCAUGGUUCAAAAGUGAAAGACGGUCAUGCUGUCACUUAUAGAUGGAUCCGCGCUGCAUUAGCUAGUUGGUAAGGUAACGGCUUACCAAGGCAACGAUGCAUAGCCGACCUGAGAGGGUGAUCGGCCACACUGGAACUGAGACACGGUCCAGACUCCUACGGGAGGCAGCAGUAGGGAAUCUUCCGCAAUGGGCGAAAGCCUGACGGAGCAACGCCGCGUGAGUGAUGAAGGUCUUCGGAUCGUAAAACUCUGUUAUUAGGGAAGAACAUAUGUGUAAGUAACUGUGCACAUCUUGACGGUACCUAAUCAGAAAGCCACGGCUAACUACGUG